Molecule: ribosomal RNA, 497 nt
Filed under: uncultured bacterium
Lineage: Bacteria
Description: partial 16S ribosomal RNA
Rfam family: Bacterial small subunit ribosomal RNA
Source: RNAcentral
GAUGAACGCUGGCGGCGUGCCUAAUACAUGCAAGUCGAGCGAACAGACGAGGAGCUUGCUCCUCUGACGUUAGCGGCGGACGGGUGAGUAACACGUGGAUAGCCUACCUAUAAGACUGGGAUAACUUCGGGAAACCGGAGCUAAUACCGGAUAAUAUAUUGAACCGCAUGGUUCAAUAGUGAAAGACGGUUUUGCUGUCACUUAUAGAUGGAUCCGCGCCGCAUUAGCUAGUUGGUAAGGUAACGGCUUACCAAGGCAACGAUGCGUAGCCGACCUGAGAGGGUGAUCGGCCACACUGGAACUGAGACACGGUCCAGACUCCUACGGGAGGCAGCAGUAGGGAAUCUUCCGCAAUGGGCGAAAGCCUGACGGAGCAACGCCGCGUGAGUGAUGAAGGUCUUCGGAUCGUAAAACUCUGUUAUUAGGGAAGAACAAAUGUGUAAGUAACUAUGCACGUCUUGACGGUACCUAAUCAGAAGGCCACGGCUAACUACGUG